Molecule: unclassified non-coding RNA, 188 nt
Filed under: Wallemia tropicalis
Lineage: Eukaryota; Fungi; Basidiomycota; Wallemiomycetes; Wallemiales; Wallemiaceae
Description: partial internal transcribed spacer region
Rfam family: Eukaryotic small subunit ribosomal RNA (bases 1-46)
Source: RNAcentral
AAGUAGUAACAAGGUUUCCGUAGGUGAACCUGCGGAAGGAUCAUUAGUGAUUAAUUAUUGAGUGUAAAAAACUCAUAAUCUUCUAUAUAAACCACUGUUUUAAAAUGUUUACUAGAAUGUCCAAGCAGUUAAGCUGUUGAAAUAUUAAAAGUUUAAUAAAACUUUCAGCAACGGAUCUCUUGGUUCAG